GAUGAACGCUAGCUACAGGCUUAACACAUGCAAGUCGAGGGGCAGCGGGAUUGAAGCUUGCUUCAAUUGCCGGCGACCGGCGCACGGGUGAGUAACGCGUAUCCAACCUUCCGUACACUCAGGGAUAGCCUUUCGAAAGAAAGAUUAAUACCUGAUGGUAUCUUAAGCACACAUGUAAUUAAGAUUAAAGAUUUAUCGGUGUACGAUGGGGAUGCGUUCCAUUAGGUAGUAGGCGGGGUAACGGCCCACCUAGCCAACGAUGGAUAGGGGUUCUGAGAGGAAGGUCCCCCACAUUGGAACUGAGACACGGUCCAAACUCCUACGGGAGGCAGCAGUGAGGAAUAUUGGUCAAUGGACGAGAGUCUGAACCAGCCAAGUAGCGUGAAGGAUGAAGGUCCUACGGAUUGUAAACUUCUUUAUAAGGGAUAAACCCUCCACGUGUGGGAGCUUGUAUGUACCUUAUGAAUAAGCAUCGGCUAACUCGUGCCAGCAGCCGCGGU
RNAcentral lists this ribosomal RNA (500 nucleotides) under uncultured bacterium. RNAcentral describes it as "bacterial SSU rRNA". It matches the Rfam family "Bacterial small subunit ribosomal RNA", at positions 28 to 521 of the family's 1533-position model. The record is from RNAcentral.